UGGUACCCGAGGCCGGGCCGGAGCCGCAGGCCAGCCGCGAUUCCUUCGGGCGAUGCUGGGGGCUUUCCGGUCGGGGCCGCAGCCGCUUCCGGAGCCGCGGGCGAGGUGCAAGCGGUCUUCUCUGUCUUCUUUAUGGCCAGUAAAAUUCUCCAGAAGAGAUUUAUGGCAGCCUCACUCCCAGUAGUUUCUGCAUUUAGUGAGAUAAGCCACAGCAAUUGUCUGCUAUUUUAAAAGCACUGUGAUGCUUAAAUAUUCCAGCUGCUACAUCGGACAGGUGUCUGAUGAUCCUGAGAACAGUCAUCAAAAAAUAGAACUUGAGCCUGGAAUACAUUCUCUGGCAUAGCCAUAGUCAAUCACCAGUAUAAUUAAUGUAAAUGGACACUGGAUAGCUUUUUUGUGAAUUCUGAUGCAGCACAAAGAGACUUUAAUUGUUUCCAAAAAGAAAAUGUCUGAGAUUAAAAUCUAGAGUUUUAUGACUUAGAGGAAAUUUUAUAGCUUUACUCCAAAAAGGGUAAGGCACAAAAUAUUCUGUGCCAAAGGAUGCAUAUUUGGUAUUUUUCCUAUGAAUCCCUUAGUGUAAGUGGCAUGAUGAGAUUUUCUUGGUUUCAACACAAAUGAUGUGUUGAGGUAGUGUUGAGGCUGAGAGGCGGGUGGGAUGGGUCUUGGAGAAGGAAAAGAUUUGUUUUGCAAGGUUUGUGGAGAGCUGAUGUGGUAGUGAGGCUAAGACAAGGGGUAUUUACUUGCUACUUACAUUGAGUCCACUAACAUCUGCAGCACUUUGCUUGCAUUAUCCACGCAAUUAUCAUGGGAAACCUAUAAAAUAAGUAUUCCUCUCCUCAUUUUACAAAUAGGGAAGCAGAUAAGAUUUAGAAAAUUUCCCAAGCUCACACAAUUAUUAAAUGACAGAACUAGGACUCAAACCCAGGUUUGAUUAAUUUUAGAGACAUGUUUUUAACCACUUGGACACUGCCAACCAUGGAAUUGUUGGUAUGAAAAAAACGUACUCUUGAGUUAUAUUAUCCAUGGUCUUAAUAUCAGAGAAGUGCAGUUGAGUCGCUAUUAAAGAAUAUGGUAAAAUUAUAAAAUGGAUACUACACAAAGGUAUAAAAAUAUUAUAAAUACUUAUGUUUGGGGUAAAAGGAUCAAAGUAGCCAUGCUCAGUGGAAGGGUAAGGAACUCUUAGCAGAGAUUGAUUAAUUGGGAGAUAAUUGAUUAAUUGGGAGUUGAUUAAUUGGGAUUUAUUAAUUUGGGAGUAGGUAGGAAGACAGGAAGUUGUAUAAAAUAAGGGAGAGAUAACUUAGUACCUGGAAAAAAAGAAAUGGAAAUAGGUAGAAGCUAAGAGUUCAAUUAAAAAAAGGAAUAAAAGAUAUUGGAAGGGAACAAUGAAUGUAGCAUGGAAGAUCCAAGAUGAUGGGAGUUCAGGGGCUAAUUACAGCUAUGGGAAAACAGUAAUGUAUAAGCUGGAAGCCAGAGAUAAGAGCCAUGUAAAUGAAGAAGUUGGGCCCCAAUAGGAAAGAAUUAUAAGGACUAGAAGGAGCAGGAGCCAUGUGGAAAAAUAUCAUGUAGUACUUUUAAGCUUGAUCUGUCAUCUGUAGCAAAACCAGCAUGCUUGAGUACUGAAUUGACCUGACUGAACUAUGUUGAAAUGUACUGUGGUUUUAUAUCCAUAUGCACUUGGUCUGUGGAGUUGUGGGAAAAGCAUCAGUGAGUAGGAAGCCCAAGGAUUUGGGUCAAGUAUUAAAUAUGCUAUUUACUGUCUAGCUAUGUGACCUUAUAUAAGUCACUUGUGGUCUCUGAGCCUUCAUGUAUUCAUCCAUAAGAUGAGUUGUUGUUUAUAUUAAAUGGGAUGUGGUAUGUUAAAGAGCUGAAUGCAUAGUGAUACAGAAUUACUUUCUGUAAUGCUAUUUUUUAAAUAUUUUAAAUGAAAAAUUAAUGAACUUAUAAAUUAAAAGAUUCAAAAGGGAUAAAAAGGUAUACAAUGAAAAGCAAUUCUCCUUCCCACCAGUAACUCUGUCCUACUCCUUAGGACAUUCACCAUAAACAGAUAUCCUGAAUUCUUCUAGAAAUAUUAUAUAUAAAAUCUCCUUAUUUUUCUUUUUUACUAUUUUAAAGGGGAUAAACUAAACUUUGCCUUUUUUCAUAUAAUAAUAUAUUCUGGAGAUCAUUUUCUAAAAGCACAGGUAAACAUACCUCAUUAUUAUAAAGGUUUGAAAAUAUCAAUUUAUUUGACCUGUCCCCUCUCGAUAGAUAAUUAGAUUGUAUCCAUCCCUUUGGUUAUUACCAACAGACACUAAUCACUUACCAUGUACAUAUAGCCUGUUUUUUAGCAUUGUUAGACAAAGUAGGCAUAUUCCUUUCCAUCCAAGAACUCAUAACCUAGUAAUUGUAGUUGGCUGAUAGCUCAUUGCCCGUACACAAGGACCUAACACAACCUCUUGAAUAAACAUCCCCCUUAUUCAGAAAUGCCUUUUCCUAUUUCCAUAUUGCAACUUUGCUUACAAAUUUCCAAUCUGUCUUUCUGUUUACAGAAGAUAUACAAAAUUCCUUUUGUAUGAUCUCUUUAUAUCUCUUGAUUUUCUUUUGUGUUUGCUACCAAAGGGCCUGCACAUAGUGAGAAGAUUGUGCAUGAUCUGUGGGCUCUACCACACCUGGAAUUAGGGAUCACCAAUAUGAGAAAAAAAAUUGGAGGUACAAAUAGCAUUAUCAUAUGUAAUUGGCAUAUAAAUUACAGAUGUAUCUAUGACUAAAAACCCUGUGGAUAUAAACCAAAUGCAGAUAAAUAUAAUAAAAUAUAUAAAAAUAUAAUCAAAUAAUGAUAGUGCUAUUCAAAUACUUCAAAUUUGCACAGUGAUUUAUUUCUUAAAAGAUGUUAACACAUGUGAGCCAAUACACUCAGGUCACUGGAUAAAUAAACAGAUUCUUGCAAGUGCUUUGGAAAUGAAACUUUUUUUAUCAUUUUAAUUUU
Molecule: long non-coding RNA, 2965 nt
Filed under: Pan troglodytes (chimpanzee)
Lineage: Eukaryota; Metazoa; Chordata; Mammalia; Primates; Hominidae
Description: lincRNA
Source: RNAcentral